GAUGAACGCUGGCGGCGUGCCUAAUACAUGCAAGUCGAGCGAACAGAUCAGGAUCUUGCUCCUCGGACGUUAGCGGCGGACGGGUGAGUAACACGUGUAUAACCUACCUAUAUUACUGGUAAAACUUCGGGAAACCGGAGCUAAUACCGUAGAAUAUAUUGAACCGCAGUGUUCAAUAGUGAAAGACGGUUGUGCUGUCACUUAUAGAGGGAUCCGGGCCGCAUUAGCUAGUUGGUAAGUUAACGGCUUACCAAGGCUACGAUGCGUAGCCGACCUGAUAGGCUGGUAGGCCACCCUGGAACGGAGCCAGCGUCAAGAGGCCUACGGUAGGCAGCAGUCGGGAAUCUUACGCAACAGGCGAAAGCAUGGCGGAGCAACGCGGAGUGAGUGAUGAAGGUCUUCGGAGCGUAAAACUCUGUUAUUAGGGAAGAACAACUGUGUAAGUAACUAUGGCCGUAUUGACGGUACCGAAUAAGAAAGCACCGGCUAACUACGUG
RNAcentral lists this ribosomal RNA (497 nucleotides) under uncultured bacterium. RNAcentral's name for it is "partial 16S ribosomal RNA". It matches the Rfam family "Bacterial small subunit ribosomal RNA", at positions 28 to 507 of the family's 1533-position model. The record is from RNAcentral.